RNAcentral lists this long non-coding RNA (410 nucleotides) under Elaeis guineensis (African oil palm). Its description in RNAcentral is "long non-coding RNA (EGUI_LNC015787)". The record is from RNAcentral. Lineage: Eukaryota; Viridiplantae; Streptophyta; Magnoliopsida; Arecales; Arecaceae.
UCAUUUUAUUAUAUAUCACCUUUGCUGAAUUUGUUGUUUAUUUAGGUUUCUCUAUUGGCACUUUCUUGCUGAAAACUGCACUUUGAGUUUUUGGUUGGAAAUCAUAACAAAUUCAAAAUUGGUUGAUGGUAAGCUAUCUCAAACCUCCAUAGAUUGUAUCUUAGUCUGUGGAGGUCUCCCAAUAUAAAUGGUAAAAGUACACAUGUAUUAAGAUCUUAUGAGCUUUAUUAUUCCAUAGUGCAUACUUCAUCAACAUCUUGAACAACAAUUAAUCCUAACAACGCAAGAAGCAAGCACUUUUCAUUUUUUAACCUUGUUUCUGCUUUUGAAUUGUUAUUAUAACAGACAUGCUCAGUUCGUAGGAUGUCACAAAUAUGAUUUUCCUUUUCCUGAUAUUUUGCAUUCAUUCU